CCUACGGGAGGCAGCAGUAGGGAAUAUUGCUCAAUGGGGGAAACCCUGAAGCAGCAACGCCGCGUGGAGGAUGAAGGUUUUCGGAUUGUAAACUCCUUUUGUUAGGGAAGAUAAUGACGGUAUCUAACGAAUAAGCACCGGCUAACUCCGUGCCAGCAGCCGCGGUAAUACGGAGGGUGAAAGCGUUACUCGGAAUCACUGGGCGUAAAGAGCGCGGAGGCGGGAUAGCAAGUCAGAAGUGAAAUACUAUGGCUUAACCAUAGAACUGCAUGUGAUACUGUAAUUCUAGAGUAUGAGAGAGGUAGGUGGAAUUCUUGGUGUAGGGGUAAAAUGCGUAGAGAUCAAGAGGAAUACUGAUUGCGAAGGCGACCUGCUAGAACAUAACUGACGCUGAUGCGCGAAAGCGUGGGGAGCAAACAGGAUUAGAUACCCUAGUAGUC
RNAcentral lists this ribosomal RNA (440 nucleotides) under uncultured bacterium. RNAcentral's name for it is "partial 16S ribosomal RNA". It matches the Rfam family "Bacterial small subunit ribosomal RNA", at positions 338 to 795 of the family's 1533-position model. The record is from RNAcentral.